GUUCUUUGCAAAGCGAUUGUGAAGAAGGCUGGAAGAACAAGGAGUAGAACUUCAGCGAUAAAGUAGCCAGAUUAGGUCACGAAUUGUGUCUAACCAGGCACCCACCAUCCUUUAGAGCCAGGACACAGCAACGCAACUCCGGACUGUGAACCAUGGACGGUUUUGCUGAGGGAGACCUCUCUGUGGUGGAUUAUGCCUUGUUAGACGAUUGCCCUGAUGAGGAAGAGGGUGCCUUUGCGCCUGAACUUAUGACGGCAAAUUAUGUUCGGGUGACUCAGCUUUACUGUGAUGGAGUGGGUUCACAGUAUAAAGAUUAUGCCCAAACGGAGAGAAAUUUAGAAUUUGACAUCUGCAGCAUAUGGUGUAGUAAACCAGUUUCUGACCUGCACGAUUACUGUGAUGCCAUUAAAAUAUAUAUCUUCUGGCCACUUCUUUUUAAACAUCAGCACACUUCUGUGAUAUCACGAUUGCAUCCCUGUGUGGAGCCCAGUUCUCGCGCUUCUGAGAUAAGUUUGAGGAAAUUACAAUGUCUUGAGUUGAUGGAAGAUAUUGUGGAUUUGGCAAAGAAAGUUUCGGUAAGUGGUAAAAUACAGAGCUCUCCUAACCACAUAUAAAUUAUACAGUAUCAGGCCUGUAUUACCAGUUUAUAGCAGUUGAUAUACAGUGGGCUUAGUUUUUGUAAGGCUGAGGUUAUUCUGUUGUCCGUGGGUGUUCUCCUUAGUGAGUUGAUCAUGGAUAGCAGAUGUCAUGGUUCUGACGUACCAGCAGGGACUUUUCAACUUGGUUAUGUCCUCUUUUUGUGGUUCACUAUGACCAAAAUGUCAUCUGCAAGGCCUG
This 837-nucleotide long non-coding RNA is filed under the name Fukomys damarensis (Damara mole-rat). RNAcentral's name for it is "lncRNA (ENSFDAG00000030250.1)". Lineage: Eukaryota; Metazoa; Chordata; Mammalia; Rodentia; Bathyergidae. The record is from RNAcentral.